GUGGUCUCCAACCCAGUCCUCAUGGACCACCAACAGUCCAGGAUUUAUGUAUUUCCCUCUUUUAUUCCAAUGGAGAUACUGACAUAACCUGGACUGUUUGUGGUCCAUGAGGAUCGGGUUGGAGACCA
This 128-nucleotide microRNA precursor is filed under the name Pelobates cultripes (western spadefoot toad). The record is from RNAcentral. Lineage: Eukaryota; Metazoa; Chordata; Amphibia; Anura; Pelobatidae.